AUGGUAAAAAAGCUUGUGUUAGAUGGAGAAAGCACAUCUGAAAUAACGUGCGAAAAGACAAAGUUUUCACUGAUGUGCAUCUGGAAACGAACAGGACGCUCCUACGGCACAGCACUGCGCUGGGUGUCGGGGCCGCCUGACACCGCUGUGCCUUUGCGGGGGUCUCUAAUGGGACUCCUCCCACCCACAACCGCCCCCAUCCGCACCCGGCAGAGCCCUCGAUGGAGGGGUCACCGGGCAGGUCCGUUGCCACGAGGUCCCCGGUGCAGGAACGGAGGCGGGCGGCCCGAGGAGGAGCUGCAGGCCGCCGGGGACACUGCGGGGCCGCCCCGUUGCCUUUGCCCGCUAGAGGGCAAGAGAGCCCCGUACAAGCGCGGCGGGGCCGUGCCCCUGGCCCUGUCCGGCUGCCCCCGGCACGCCGUCGUCCUGCCCGGCCCCGGGAAACGGGGCAGCGCGGCGGGGCGGCCCCUCGGGGGGGUGGGGGAGCGCGACGCCGAGGGCCCGCGGCCUCGUGGGGUGGAUGUGCGCUGGGGGAGGGCGGGCCCUGCGCCGGGCGGGGGGACGCGCCACGGCUGGCCGCAUUACGGCCGCUCGGGGCUCCGCGGAGGCCUGCGGGACGGCACGGCUCGGCACGGCGCCGCAGGAAACGGGCAGCGGGGGCGGCUCCGGCGCGGAGUGCUGCGGGCCGGCACCUCCCGACCGGUCCUGGGGCGGGGAGCGGGGCCUGCGCUUGGUCCGGCUCUGCCGCCGGGCUCCGGCCGAAGGGAUCGGUGUGUUCUCGGCUCGGGGAUGCCGCCCCAUCUUCCAAAGGGCCCGAAGGGGAAGAGCCGGCGGCUGAGGGCUGAGGGGAGCCCUAGAGGCUGCGCGGGCGGACUGCAGCCCGCAGCCCAGCCGGCAGCCUGCAGCAGGCACCGGGGAGCGAGUGGGGGGAGGGCACGGGGAAGGCAGAAAUCCCUUCGGACAGAGGCGGUGCGGCCCGGCAAUAACGCUGGGGUGCUGUGGGUGAGAGCAGGGUGA
This 1017-nucleotide long non-coding RNA is filed under the name Coturnix japonica (Japanese quail). RNAcentral describes it as "lncRNA (ENSCJPG00005001285.1)". The record is from RNAcentral. Lineage: Eukaryota; Metazoa; Chordata; Aves; Galliformes; Phasianidae.